GAGUUGCCUGUCAAAAGGCUUAUGUACCUUCUGGUACGUUCACUGUGAACAAAUCAGGACGCUUAGUGUAUGGUUACAUGAAUGACUCAGCGCAGUAUGAUAUCUUUACCUUCUGGUAAGAUCAAUGAGAGCCACCGGGGGUAGAUCUAUUUCAUGGCGAGCGGUGGAAUGCUCUGACCCAUGAGAGAGAAACGAAGGCGAAGGCAUCUACCUAGAGGGUUUCUGUCGAUCAAGGGCGAGAGUAGGAGUAUCCAACCGGAUUAGAGACCCGGGUAGUUCCUACCUUAAACGAUGCCGACAGGGGCUUGUCCAUUUCUUUGGGCAGGACCUUAGGAGAAAUCAUAGUUCUUGGGCUCUGGGGGAACUACGACCGCAAGGCUGAAACUUGAAGGAAUUGACGGAAGGGCACACCAGGGGUGGAGCUUGUGGCUUAAUUUGAAUCAACACGGGGAAACUUACCAGGACCAGUUGUUUUUUAUGACUGACAGCCUUCCGGGCUUUCAGGAUUGGACUUUUGGUGGUGCAU
RNAcentral lists this ribosomal RNA (526 nucleotides) under Simplicimonas sp. 3-06-0403. RNAcentral's name for it is "bacterial SSU rRNA". It matches the Rfam family "Eukaryotic small subunit ribosomal RNA", at positions 713 to 1285 of the family's 1831-position model. The record is from RNAcentral. Lineage: Eukaryota; Parabasalia; Tritrichomonadida; Simplicimonadidae.